Ictalurus punctatus (channel catfish) is the source of this 1782-nucleotide long non-coding RNA. Lineage: Eukaryota; Metazoa; Chordata; Actinopteri; Siluriformes; Ictaluridae. The record is from Ensembl.
UAUAUAUAUAUAUAUAUAUAUAAAAUAUAAAACAAAAUAUAAAAACCAUAACAAACAUAUGGCUUCUGACCCGGUCAGCUAGUCUAAAAGAACAGAACUAAGGAGAGGCUGGUGUGAUAUUCUUGAACAGAAUUGUGUCAAUUAGAUCAACAUCCUGUUGAGAAAUUGACUAUAACAAAAGCCCAUUUAAAAAAAAAAAAACAACAAAAAAAACCCUAUAUAUAAUACAUUUCCCACAAAUAUUGCUGUCCUGGACCAGGGGUAUCAUCUUGGAGCUCAUUUGAAAUUGCAUUUCUAUUGAGGGUUUAUAUAUAAAAUUUUCAUUUACUACUCAUGUCACUGCCACGCUGCACCUCUAUACCUCCUCGUCUACUUGCCCUACACAGUAAGUUCUUACUUUUCGACAAUUGUGUCCAAUUACUUCUCAUUUAUGUUGUAUGAUGUGAACAAAAGAUGGGUUUUUUUUUUUGUCUUGUUUUGUUAAGAGAGAAAUAUUUUAUUUCUCCUUUUGUGUCCAAUCCUUCCUGGAAGGACGUUAAUGUGAAAUGAAGAAAUGCAAAAAAAGAAAAGAAAAUGCAAAGUAAUCAAAGUUGUUAUUUAAUAAACACCGGCCAUGGCAUUAUUAUGUAAUGUUAUUCUGCCUGCCCAUUGCUUUGUGCCAUAUACACAUGCAAGCUGAAUACAGAAUAAAUCAGUGAGAAAACAUUACUCUAAUGAGAAAGUGGAAACACUGUUACAGGUAUUUCUCUGGGUGUUAGUCUGUACUUCACAGGCAGGGGGCGGUAAUGAACUGCAUGAUAUUCAACUGGGAAUAGAGAUCCUUCACCAAUGCUGCCCUUUUAUUCGCCACCUAUUUUCCAAGUGCUGGGAAAACAACUACAGAUUCUGUCUGAUGUGGAUGCUGCUGUUUCUAGAGAAAUAAAGAGACCUUUGAGCCCUGCUGAGACACCAGAUCCAUAGAAGACAAAACUGGGGGGAUUUCUGUUGUAUCACGUACAGACACCAGUGGAAAAUUGCCUGUCUGAUAACAUGAGAAGUCGUCGAAGCUUUUUAUCCAAUGACAGGAGGCCAGCAUUUAGAUGAAGCAAACUGAUUCUGAAGCUGCCCUGGGGUGUGGAACACUUCAGAGUGAGCUCUCUCCAUUACCCAUCAACACAAGGGAGAGAAGCAGCAGAGAAUUGAAAUCUUGUGUCAGGAUAAAGUAAGACAGCUGUGCAGCUUAGAUAGCUAGAGGAGUCACGAAGGUGAAAUCAGUCAUUUGAGACGGGGCAGGGUUAAUAGUUAAUAAUGAAUAGUGAUGUAUAAAUGUAGGAUUUGUUUUUUGUAUUGGAUGGAAGAAUGAGCCAGCCAGAAAUGGUAAAUGCCACUGACUAAGCCCGAUUGUUGAAUUUUAAAUGUGUGAGCUUCAAGGGACAUCACAUUGGCGUAGGCGGAACCAUUUUAGGGAAUGUCAGCAUCAAUGCUUUUGUUUGCUCUAGCUGCUACAAAGAAAGCACAAAAUGGGCUGAUGUUUCAGCAUUAAACAGUAAUCCAUGACUUUUCUUGAAGAGGGGCCACUGUUUCCUAUAAAUCACAUUAAAAUAUGAUGAGCUUAUUUAAUUCGCUCAUACCCCUGUGAUCUGCUUAUUUUAGUUAACAAUACAUAAAAAACCCCCCACUGAGUUUCAGUUUGGCCUGUCUGCAAACCAAUAUUGUAUUUCUUCUUUACUCCUCAUGUAACAGCAGUUCUGAAGGUUGCCUGCUGACAGGGAAGGAUGUACUUGGAGUUUGGCUAAACCUGAC